UAAGGAAUAUUGGACAAUGGACGCAAGUCUGAUCCAGCCAUGCCGCGUGAAGGAUGAAUGCCCUCUGGGUUGUAAACUUCUUUUAUAGGGGAAGAAAGAUACUUUUUUUAAGGUAGUUGACGGUACCCCAUGAAUAAGCACCGGCUAACUCCGUGCCAGCAGCCGCGGUAAUACGGAGGGUGCAAGCGUUAUCCGGAUUUACUGGGUUUAAAGGGUUCGUGGGCGGGCAUGUAAGUCAGUGGUGAAAUACCGGAGCUUAACUUCGGAACUGCCAUUGAAACUAUAUGUCUUGAAUAUUGUGGAGGUAAGCGGAAUAUGUCAGGUAGCGGUGAAAUGCAUAGAUAUGACAUAGAACACCGAUUGCGGAGGCAGCUUGCUACGCAAAUAUUGACGCUGAGGCACGAAAGCGUGGGGAUCAAACA
This 422-nucleotide ribosomal RNA is filed under the name uncultured bacterium. RNAcentral's name for it is "bacterial SSU rRNA". It matches the Rfam family "Bacterial small subunit ribosomal RNA", at positions 355 to 774 of the family's 1533-position model. The record is from RNAcentral.